AUGGAUAAUCCUUGCACAUUGCCCACACAUGUUGCCAUCCAGAAGCUCCUCCAGUGCAAACCCAUGGGACAAAGCACCAACAAGGAAUGGCCCCCAGGAAUCCUUUUUUCAGCUGCAGUCAGAAACAUCCACCUUGCCAGACACAGAGAGGCAGGGAGUCCAACACGGACAACUUCCAGCCUUUUAACACAAGUCUUGCUUAGGCUGACAGGCAAGCACAGCAAGCCCAGCUCCCACCAGCAGCUGUGCCUGUUAGCUGCCAGCCCCCACGGAGACAGCUCUCUGAGCUGCGUUUUUAAGCAAGGAGAAACCACGGUGCUCAGUGGGAAGAAGGGCUGUGGAGAAGACUUGCAGAAGGAAGCAGCAGGUAGAGGAGCAGAUUGGGGCCAACAUCUUUGUGACAGGCUGAUUUGCAGAGAGAAGGAUUCAGCCAAGUUUCAAAGCUUCCCUGACAGCAUUUCUGUAGUCUGCAGUGCGCUCAGAGGAGAGCCUUCACCCGCUGCAUGGGGACUUGUCGCUGAUCUGAAGCUACCUCUGCUGAAUAUCAGGGAAAUCAUAAGCACUGGCCUGUGCUGCUUCACGCACCUUCCUCGCCUGGAGGCAAAUGAAGCCCAUCAACAUGGAGCUCCAGCAAGGUGCCGUGCUUCACUUUUUAUUGCACUCUUCAUGGAGACUGGAGAGCAAAAUCACCAGCAGGUUUCUACCUUUGUGGUAUUCCUGCUCCAGGAGAGACAUUGGCUUGCCUCUUGCAAACGCUGCAUCUGUUGGAAUGCUGCACGGUCAGAAAAGACACCCACCAUGCCUGAAUGGAUAUUGCUGGGGCUUGCUGCCACUUCAUCGCAGAGCAAGGACUGA
RNAcentral lists this long non-coding RNA (855 nucleotides) under Anser brachyrhynchus (Pink-footed goose). RNAcentral describes it as "lncRNA (ENSABRG00000016087.1)". Lineage: Eukaryota; Metazoa; Chordata; Aves; Anseriformes; Anatidae. The record is from RNAcentral.